AGGAGAGCCCCUUAACCUUGGAACUGAUGCAGUUGGUCGGCUGCUCCACUGACCUUAGAAGAGUGAUUAAUUAAUGAUACAAAUAUCAGAGCUUCAGAAGGAUUUGCUGCUUCAACUAUCCUGGGUUCUGGCAAGCCGGAUUUGUGCCCUACUGGAGCCACGGCCGCCUGUGCUGUUUCCUCUAGCAUUUUGGAAAUAAAAUGGAAAUGGAGUCUGAGGAAGGAAUGCUUGGCUCAACAGCUCUUACCUUCAUCAACACAGUUUUUCAGGAUCAAGGUUAUGUGCAUCAGUCUAUGGAUUGGUAUAUGGAAACAUGAUUCCUGCAAAAUGUGUCAUGUGAGACGAGAAUUUCAACUUAAGCAAACACUGCACAUCAAUAUCACUGAAAAAAAGUAUGCUAGCAGGUAAUGCCAGGAGGUACUCUAACCAAGAAAGCCUGGUGAAGUUAUCUCCUCAGAAGAUAAACUGGAUAAUCAGCACCAGCUGGGGCAGAAAGGAAGGGAAGCUGGUGAAAUGAACAUGUCCACUCUGUGUCAUAGCAAUGACAGAACUUCAGCUGAUUGUUGUCUGUGAUAAAGGAGACAAAGUAUGGCCAACUUGGGUUUUGCAGAAGUCACUGGAAAUCCACAGCUUUCUAUGAAACUUCCCGAUUCUUAAAAGUCUCCAAAACAAGUUGUUCCACAACUGUUUCCUUGGCAUACUCUGGGCCAGGGAGUGCCAGAGAUAAAGUGAAGAACAAAGGAGACAGAAACAAAAGUUUAUGCCCUGGCUCAUGCUUACCCUCGUGGAGCUUAGAUUCCACUGAAAGAUACAGACAAUAUAACAAAUAAGUGAAUGAUACUUUGGAAAGUGGAAAUUGUUCAAUGAUGAUAAUAAUCACUCAAGUAUAUCAUGAAGAAUUAUCUAGCUCGGCACUUUCUCCUGAAGUGUAUUACCAGAGAAAUCCAAAAUCUCUGCCAAUGAAACAAGCAAAGCUUCU
Long non-coding RNA from Felis catus (domestic cat), 979 nucleotides. RefSeq lists it as uncharacterized. Lineage: Eukaryota; Metazoa; Chordata; Mammalia; Carnivora; Felidae. The transcript is spliced from 5 exons. The record is from RefSeq and is a predicted model, not a curated record.